Molecule: ribosomal RNA, 138 nt
Filed under: uncultured eukaryote
Lineage: Eukaryota
Description: partial 18S ribosomal RNA
Rfam family: Eukaryotic small subunit ribosomal RNA
Source: RNAcentral
UGGUGGAGUGAUUUGUCUGCUUAAUUGCGUUAACGAACGAGACCUUAACCUGCUAAAUAGUUAUGCCAACUUGGGUUGGUAGCCAACUUCUUAGAGGGACUGUCAGCAUCAAGCUGACGGAAGUUUGAGGCAAUAACA